Talpa occidentalis (Iberian mole) is the source of this 507-nucleotide long non-coding RNA. RefSeq lists it as uncharacterized. The record is from RefSeq and is a predicted model, not a curated record. Lineage: Eukaryota; Metazoa; Chordata; Mammalia; Eulipotyphla; Talpidae. The transcript has 3 exons.
CGGAUUCAACAGUGAAUACAGCAGUGUGGCCUCUGGAGAGGGUAAUGUGUUUACUAAAUCUUUUCCUUCUUCCCACACAUAACUAGACCAUAUUUCUCAGUUUUCCUUACAGCUAUAUGUGGUUACGUGAUUGAGCGCCAGCAAACAGAAAGUGAACAGAAGUACUGUCUGCAACUCUACAGACCAUAAAGCCCACGUAAGACAAGAAGACCAAGGGUGAGGAACUGAAAACUGUGACCUCAGUUCUUGCUGCUGUGCAUUAUCAACAUCAAAAGUAUCUUGGCUUGGAAGUCGAAUAAGAAAGAGGAGAAGGAGGAUAAAGAUAAGGUCGAGAAGCACAAAUAAGAAGAAAUAUCUCUGUGGUGACGCACAUCUGCGAAGGUGAAAGCCUAUUCCUCGGACUCAUAUACAGUGCCGUGAACCAACGUCACCUCAAGGAGAAAAAAAGAAUAUCUUGUCCAAACAAAGUGGGUCCGCAUCAGAAUGGAGAACAUUCUUCAAGCAAUA